GUGGGGAAUAUUGGACAAUGGGCGAAAGCCUGAUCCAGCCAUGCCGCGUGUGUGAAGAAGGUCUUCGGAUUGUAAAGCACUUUAAGUUGGGAGGAAGGGCAGUAAGUUAAUACCUUGCUGUUUUGACGUUACCGACAGAAUAAGCACCGGCUAACUUCGUGCCAGCAGCCGCGGUAAUACGAAGGGUGCAAGCGUUAAUCGGAAUUACUGGGCGUAAAGCGCGCGUAGGUGGUUUUGUAAGUUGGGGGUGAAAUCCACGGGCUCAACCUGGGAACUGCCUCCAAAACUGCAUGACUAGAGUACGGUAGAGGGUAGUGGAAUUUCCUGUGUAGCGGUGAAAUGCGUAGAUAUAGGAAGGAACACCAGUGGCGAAGGCGACUACCUGGACUGAUACUGACACUGAGGUGCGAAAGCGUGGGGAGCAAACAGGAUUAGAUACCCGAGUAGUCC
Molecule: ribosomal RNA, 450 nt
Filed under: uncultured bacterium
Lineage: Bacteria
Description: partial 16S ribosomal RNA
Rfam family: Bacterial small subunit ribosomal RNA
Source: RNAcentral